Molecule: ribosomal RNA, 273 nt
Filed under: uncultured bacterium
Lineage: Bacteria
Description: partial 16S ribosomal RNA
Rfam family: Bacterial small subunit ribosomal RNA
Source: RNAcentral
AACGUAGGAGGCAAGCGUUAUCCGAAUUUACUGGGCGUAAAGCGCGUGCAGGCGGUUCGGUAAGUUGGAUGUGAAAUCUCCUGGCUCAACUGGGAGAGGUCGUUCAAUACUGUCGGACUUGAGGAUGGCAGAGGGAGGUGGAAUUCCCGGUGUAGUGGUGAAAUGCGUAGAUAUCGGGAGGAACACCAGUGGCGAAGGCGGCCUCCUGGACCAUUCCUGACGCUCAGACGCGAAAGCUAGGGGAGCGAACGGGAUUAGAUACCCCCGUAGUCC